This is a long non-coding RNA of Eubalaena glacialis (North Atlantic right whale), 688 nucleotides long. RefSeq lists it as uncharacterized. The transcript is spliced from 3 exons. Lineage: Eukaryota; Metazoa; Chordata; Mammalia; Artiodactyla; Balaenidae. The record is from RefSeq and is a predicted model, not a curated record.
AAGGACAUUCUCCACCUCCAAGUCCGGACUGACCUCGGCUAGAGAGGGGCGCCAGGGACAGGACAUGGGGGACGGGGAACCCCACCCAGUUCCUCACUCCUCUGACUGGCUCCUCUGCUCCAUCCUCCACCCCACCAUGAUCCUUGGGAGGAACUGCGCAUUUAAGAAUCUCUCCUAAGGACUUCCCUGGUUGCGCAGUGGUUAAGAAUCCGCCUGCCAAUGCAGGGGACACGGGUUUGAUCCCUGGUCCAGGAAGAUCCCACAUGCCGCGGGGCAACUAAGCCCAUGCGCCACAACUACUGAGCCCGCGUGCUGCAACUGCUGAAGCCCACACGCCUAGAACCCGUGCUCUGCAGCAAGAGAAGCCACUGCAAUGAGAAGCCUGAGCAGCGCAAAGAAGAGCAGCCCCCGCCCACUGCAACUAGAGAAAGCCCUCGCGCAGCAACGAAGACCCAAUGCAGACCAAAAAAAAAAAAAAAAAAAAAAGAAUCGCUCCUAAAAAGUACUUGCUGGGAGCACAGCGCCUAUAAGGAUGCUUGCCAUGAGGGGAAAGGGAAAACCAUCUUAAAGCCCAUCAGUGGUGGGCUGGCUCAACUAUUUGCAUGCUGUGCAACCAUUUGUUAAAAAUUUGGUGGAGGUAUAUACACUGACACAGUGACGUGUCCAAUAUAUAUUAAGUGAGAAAUAA